This 279-nucleotide unclassified non-coding RNA is filed under the name plant metagenome. Its description in RNAcentral is "partial contains small subunit ribosomal RNA, internal transcribed spacer 1, and 5.8S ribosomal RNA". The record is from RNAcentral.
UCUCCGUUGGUGAACAGCGGAGGGAUCAUUACAGAGUUUUCACAACUCCCAACACUUGCGAACCGUACCCAUUCUGUUCUCGUUGCUUCCAGCGGGGGUGACGUGGGGGCCCGAAACGGCCUCCCCGCCCCGCCCGCCUGGGGCGGCGGGCCCUCCGAACCUUUAUAUCUCAACCACCAGACACCGACUGAGAACAAAAAACAAAACAUCAAAACUUCCAACAACGGAUCUUUUGGCUCUUGCCUCAAUGAUGAACGCAGCAGCUCGGCAGAACACCCC